This is a long non-coding RNA of Manis javanica (Malayan pangolin), 1098 nucleotides long. RefSeq lists it as uncharacterized. NCBI's taxonomy places the organism in Eukaryota, Metazoa, Chordata, Mammalia, Pholidota, Manidae. The record is from RefSeq and is a predicted model, not a curated record.
CAGUCGUCAGGAGAUGGAAGAUUCCAGUUAAUCAAAUAUUGUGAAUAGUCCAGUAACAGGCAAUUAGAAAACAAGCUCUGGAAGCUCAGACUGGCCGGUCCUCUAAGAUGGAAGUUUAUUCUGCCCUGCCUGGCCUUUCCCGUGGGAACCCCAGGUAAGGCCGGGGGCUACACUUUCCCCUUGUUCCGAUUCCCACCUCCUGACCAAGCCUGGUGCUUCCCCAUGCAGCCCGGGGACAUGUGAGUAAUAAAUUCUUUUUUUCAAUGGCAUUAAGCUCUUGUGUGGGCUCUGUGACCUCCAUAAAAUAGAAUCCCAAGGGCACAAAUGAACAAUGCUCUAAUUUCUUUCAGGAAGACAGAAAACGAUGAUUUCUGGGAAAAGGGUAAUUUACUAAGAACAGAGUAAACAUUCGAAAUAGAUUACAUCUUAGACAUAUUUGGACUAUGUCCAACAAAGAGAGGUCAGCUCAGUGGGGGCAUAACUAAGAAUGAUCCAUCACUUGACCUCUGUGUUGUCACUUCCUUGUCCUAUGGAAGGGUUUCAUUAAUUCUGUUUUUUUGAGGCAGUGGAGUGAGAAGACCUGAGUCUGAAUUUAAGCCCUCCCAUUUUCCAGUUGAGUGGACUUGGGUAAGUCUCUGGGCUUUAGUUUCUGGAUCACGUAAACAUGGGAGUCAUUCCUGCCUCGCUGGACUACGGGAAGUUCUACGAGCUCGUAUCUCACGUGGGGCCUCACACACGACAAAUGGUUUCAGAGCCCACCAAUAAACAAUAAAUAUCCAACACUGAGGAUGACUGCUUUCUGGCAGUCUCAGCGCUUCCAGAAGCUUCCUCUCAAGAAGUCCUGGACCAAGAGGAGGAGAGAGUAUUACAGCCAUGAGCUGAGUCCCUUGGGAACGUUGACAGAAGAAGGAGCAGCAGAUACGCACAUUUUCAAAGCGACUUCUGGACAUUUCAGAACCUUAAUAUCCCUGAUAUUUAUUUACCGCCAAUUCCUUCCCAGAGAAAAGUUCUGCUUUAUUAACAUUAAGAAGAUGGUUUUGGUACAAAAGAGAUAACAGAUGGCAUUCUUUUAAAUAUGACUUCGAAAAAACAGUUUAA